This is a long non-coding RNA of Helianthus annuus (common sunflower), 3850 nucleotides long. RefSeq lists it as uncharacterized. The transcript has 7 exons. The record is from RefSeq and is a predicted model, not a curated record. NCBI's taxonomy places the organism in Eukaryota, Viridiplantae, Streptophyta, Magnoliopsida, Asterales, Asteraceae.
UCCCCCUCCUAGGGCCUCAAAAGCUCAUUUUCCCGCCAAAAUAUUCAUUCUCCUCAUUUCCCUUGAAUUAACCUGACAUGGGAUCCAUUUAGUCUAUUCGGAUCCUCCUUUUUCCGUCCAUAUUUAAACCAAUAAACCAAUCAAUUUUCCCAUUCUAUUCUUCUCUGAUACGCUUUCUUCACCGCCGCUCAUCAAGAUUUUCAAAUUAAUCUUCAAGAACAAGGGUUUUCUCCAGAAACCCCUUUCUCUCAUCCCAUCCAUCUGCGACAUACAUUCAAUCCUUCAUUCGUCUUCAAUCAGCAGGUUUGUAUUUGUUAAUUACCUAUAAUUAUUUAUUCUAAUGUUCUUUGCUACUAUCCAGGAUCAAACCCUAGAUUCUUUGCUCCUCCAUCGACGUUCCAUCUCUUGAUGUUCUCCCCUGGCAUCCUUCUUACUUCUGAAGAUUUGUUUUUUUACGAACAACAACAGCAGUCACUCUUCAUCAUCUUCGUCUUAAUCAAAUCUAUCAUCAUCUCCUUCAUGCAUCAUCUACAACAAUCGAUUAUUGCCUUGCUAAUUCGCCUCUAAUUCUAAAGUUUAUGGCACCUCUCCGUCAGCGCCGUCAUAGUCUGAUAUUGAUCUUUGUUUCAGCCGUUCGUGAUGACUAAAAACGUUCUUGGUGGUGGCUAGGGUUCGUAUGGUGUAAGAAUGGCGAUAGUCUAACAUCGAGUGGGGUUUUGAUGAUGAAAUUAGAGCUUUGGUCACAAGAAAUCUUUUAGGAAGAGGCAUUAUUUUGCACCCCCAAACAAAUUUGACACUGGUAAUUUUUCUAUAAUUAAUUAUUGAUUUUAUUCACAUAGAUUAACUUUCUUGAAUCUUCAGCUGAUUUAAAUUAAAUACAUGUAUUUUAGUGACGAUGUUGGAUGCCAUUAGAGUGGCUACAAAUCAUGGUAAAAAUUAACAUCCUAAAAAAUGAAUAUUCUUCUUUCCCCUGUUUUCAAAUUUCUGUUGGUUUUUCUUUUUUUUAGUUGUUUAAAAUAUCAUGUUUCUCCAUUUGUUUUUUUUAACUUGAUACAUCUGUACUUAUCAUAUCAACUAUUAUUAAAAAACUCACUUUGAAUCCAUCUUUUCAUCUUUUGGUUAUUCUCACUUAAGAGCAUUUUCUUGAUUUGUGAUGCACUUUAAAUACAAAAAACCAUGAUUGAGAUUAUGUUUAAAGUUGAAUCUUCAUGCCUUCUAUGUUUAUUGUUGAUCCCAUAUGAUUUCAACCCCUGUAAUGAGAUUAAUCAAACAUAUUUGUUAACUCUCGAACUUUUUUCCUUCUUAUUGUUGAAUGGAGUUUAAUAUACACAUUCAGGAGGCUUCCUCCAUUGUGAUAUAAAGCCACAUAACUUUUUGUUGAUUUUUAGCCGAAUGGAAAUUCAGUUGUACAGGCAGGGCUUGGCGGAAAUGGGGGUUACUUCUUAGUCAAGUUGAAGGUAAAUUUCCAAUUAUUUUGUUUUUCGUUGAACACCUUUAAAAAUCCACUUAUUGUUCUUCAUCCGAGCUGUCACUGUAUACAAUUACAUUUUAAUGUGUUUGUGUUGAACCACUUAGUGACCUUAUUGCCUAAUUUGAUAAAAAUUAUAUGAUAGUACUUCUACUUAGGGGAGUAUUUAAGUUCUUUAAACUUUACCGAUUUAUAUCUUCAACUAAAAGAUCAUAUGAUUGUUUGGUGUUUUAUUUAGUUCUACAUUAUUUAUGGAGUUUUGCUUUUUCACACACCAUUAACAGUGAGUAUGUAUAUGUGUUCAUGCCAGCCACUUAUAUGUUGUAUAACUAAAUUAUUUUACUUCUGAUUUAUAUGAGGCUUUAGGUUUUUUACCCACAUAGCAAUCCAUGGGAAGAAUAAGAACGGGCUAUUAAUUGCCUUUUCAAGUUAAGCAUGUGACCGCUUAGUAAUUUAGCUUUAUGAUUCUUUGCUUCUUAUAUUAUUUUGUCCUCUACUUUCUAUGCUUGGUUAACAUACUUAACGGGUCAACAAGGCAAGUGGAACAUAGUAAAAAAAAAAAAGCAAAGGUCAAAUUGGGCUUCAUCAGAUAAUGCUUGCUGAUAGAUAUUAUGAACUUGAACCAACCUUAAACGAUAAAAGAAGACGUACUGGAUGUUGUUAGCUGGAAUGAUAAUAAUUACUCACCAGUCAGUAUUUGGUGCAAACGCAUGCCGAAGGUUUUAUAUGUUACAAUUGGUACGUUGACAGAACUCGGGUAUUUUGUUUUUCAUCAAAACUUUUAUGCUGAUGGUGCGGAAGUUAUAACAAAUGGAAUUUUGGAUCGAUCAACUUACAAAUCAGAUGCAGAGAGACAGAAAGUGAUACAAUAUUCUUGAAGCAUCGAUAGAGAGAAGAGUUUCCGCGAUAGACUUGGAAUUUAGGAAAGGAAAAUCAAUAUUACAGGAAACAAAUGGUCGUGCCCAGGUCCUCUCUACUUUCAGGCUUUUGUAGAGGUGGAAAAUGGCUUGGUUGGGCGGGUUAGGUAAUGAGUCAAAGCCGGUAAUUUUUGUGUAAGUAUAACCCGAAAUGCUUUUUGUCUAAUUUUAAAUAAUUAGAAAACACAUCCUAUAAAUAAUUGUCGAACUUGAGGAAACUUUUGCCCCGUUUGAGUUGUUUCAUUUUAAGCUUCUUUUUUAUAUGUUUGACACUUAAAGGAGAUAACAUAAGUGAAUCACCCUUUCUUAUAAGCAUUAAACAUUUGCCUCACAAGUUUGCCAAAGAUCUAGGAAAUUGUUCAAAAAUGUCAAAGUUGGAUGUAGAGGUAUCUCAAAAAUAUCGGGUCUUCGUAUUUUUUAUCUUCUUAUUUUCCCACAUCGUUAUUUUGCAUAUUUGGUGGUGGGCAUAAAGCAUUAGUAAUUUUUUUUUGGGAAAUAAGCUUGCAGCACUAAGAAGUUCCUCGCGUCAUGGACCUUUCUCACUUAACUCAAUGGAAGCAACUCACAUUCUUUGUUCUGUUUUUUCAGUUCACUUGCCAUAAGAAUUGGUCCAAAAUUGGGUUGAUAGGAAUUCAAAGUGUAAGUUGUGCUUCAAUGAAGUGUAUAAGAUAUAUUUUUUUUUCUUUAAGUAGGUGGUUUAAAGAUGGAAGAACUAUUACUAGGUGGGAGUGUCUUUUCAAAAUGAGCUUAAAUAGUUAACCAGGUAUUAUGUAUAUAUUAUGCUAUGGAUAUUGCUAGACAACAUGGAUACAUGGCUCGACCUUACAAGGAGUCUCCACCGGGUUCUUAGCUAAAAUAGUAAUUUUUUUGCAAAACAGUUGGUUCCUCGCUCACAUCUUCACAUAUAGGAUGCAUACACUCACAUAGUAUAAAACCUUUUAGGCAUAGCCAAUAAAGAUUUGAAACAUCCAUAAAUAAUAAAGCAAUUGCCCAAUCAAACAGGUGUAUAAUCGUUAUUUUUUUUCUAAAAAUAAAAAAAGAUAUCAUUUGUCAACACCGCGAAAUUCGCGGGUAUUAGCACUAGUAUGCAAAGAAAGUUGUAUAAUGUGGACAACUUUUAGGUGAUCUAUCGAAUGAGAAGCGGGAUGGAAUGUAACGUCGUGAAGGAGUGAAAUUAGAAGGUGUUUAGCCGGUUAAUAGAAUGAAUUCAGUAUCAUCUUAUGAAUAUCUUUCACGUAUCAUAAAAGUUUUCUUGAUUUCUUUUUAAGAUUUAAAGUAUUGAUUAGGACAAACAGUGAUCCCGUCCCUAAACCAUAGAGACGUAAAUUGCAGUGUACUUUUUUUUAGUUACGAUAAAACAGUUAUAGUAUACCUCAAUAGUUAUAUUUGGUAGCUAGUAGUGUAGGAAGAAGCAAUGUAUGUUCGAUGAUAACACCAAACCGAGGAACUUUGUAAAACGUCGUUG